AGUUUGACCCUGGCUCAGGAUGAACGCUAGCGGCAGGCUUAAUACAUGCAAGUCGAGGGGGCAGCAAUGUCACCGGCGAACGGGUGCGUAACGCGUAUGCAACCUACCUACAUCAGGGGGAUAGCCCUAGGAAACUGGGAUUAACACCGCAUAACAAUAGAGUUGGCAUCAACUUUAUUUGAAAUAUUUAUAGGAUGUAGAUGGGCAUGCGUAGGAUUAGCUAGUUGGUAAGGUAACGGCUUACCAAGGCUACGAUCCUUAGGGGCUCUGAGAGGAGUAUCCCCCACACUGGCACUGAGAUACGGGCCAGACUCCUACGGGAGGCAGCAGUAGGGAAUAUUGGGCAAUGGAGGCAACUCUGACCCAGCCAUGCCGCGUGCAGGAAGACGGUCCUCUGGAUUGUAAACUGCUUUUGAAUGGGAAGAAUGUGCUCCUUGCGAGGGGUAAUGACGGUACCAUUAGAAUAAGCCACGGCUAACUACGUGCCAGCAGCCGCGGUAAUACGUAGGUGGCGAGCGUUAUCCGGAUUUAUUGGGUUUAAAGGGUGCGUAGGCGGCUUAAUAAGUCGGUGGUUAAAAGUAGCAGCUUAACUGUUUUACAUGCCAUCGAUACUGUUGAGCUUGAGAUAUUUGGAGGCAGCUAGAAUUUCCGG
RNAcentral lists this ribosomal RNA (652 nucleotides) under uncultured bacterium. Its description in RNAcentral is "bacterial SSU rRNA". It matches the Rfam family "Bacterial small subunit ribosomal RNA", at positions 10 to 673 of the family's 1533-position model. The record is from RNAcentral.